This 624-nucleotide ribosomal RNA is filed under the name Triticum aestivum (bread wheat). RNAcentral describes it as "partial small subunit ribosomal RNA". The record is from RNAcentral. Lineage: Eukaryota; Viridiplantae; Streptophyta; Magnoliopsida; Poales; Poaceae.
AUGCGGGUGGUGGCGCUGCGAUUGAACAGCACCGGGCUCGUCGGAGCACUCCCCCCAGUCAUCGGGAACCUCACCUUCCUACGCAAGCUGGAUCUGAGCUUCAACUUGCUCCACGGGGACAUUCCAGCCAGCCUCGGCCACCUCCGCCGCUUGAAGAGGCUCUACUUGUAUGACAACUCCUUUUCCGGCCCAGUCCCAGUGAAUUUAAGCUGGUGCACAAGCAUGAUCAUAAUGGGACUGUCCAACAACAAGCUUGGCGGGCACAUCCCGGCUGAGCUUGGCGAGAAGCUCAUGUCCCUGGAAGUGAGAAACAACAGUUUCACCGGGCCCAUCCCGGCAUCUCUGGAAAAUCUGUCCCAUCUACAAAUCCUCGACCUCUCCCAGAACCAGCUCAUGGGCUCAAUCCCACCAGGGCUCGGCAGCAACCAGAGCAUGCAAUAUUUCGAUCUCUUCGGAAACAACUUCUCUGGUAUGCUCCCACCUUCUCUCUAUAACUGGUCAUCCCUGGAAGUACUUAACGUAGGGGGAAAUAUGUUCUAUGGAAGCAUUCCAGGUGAUAUUGGAAGCAAGUUCCCCAAGUUGGAAUAUCUCAACCACUCUCCAACGGUUAUACUUAGAGGAUAA